This 253-nucleotide ribosomal RNA is filed under the name uncultured bacterium. RNAcentral's name for it is "partial 16S ribosomal RNA". It matches the Rfam family "Bacterial small subunit ribosomal RNA", at positions 524 to 776 of the family's 1533-position model. The record is from RNAcentral.
UACGUAGGGUGCAAGCGUUGUCCGGAAUUAUUGGGCGUAAAGAGCUCGUAGGCGGUUUGUCGCGUCGGCUGUGAAAACUCGGGGCUCAACCCCGAGCCUGCAGUCGAUACGGGCAAACUUGAGUGCGGUAGGGGAGACUGGAAUUCCUGGUGUAGCGGUGAAAUGCGCAGAUAUCAGGAGGAACACCGAUGGCGAAGGCAGGUCUCUGGGCCACUACUGACGCUGAGAAGCGAAAGCAUGGGGAGCGAACAGG